UUUGACAUUAUGUUAGUUUGAGGAGAGCCU
This 30-nucleotide non-coding RNA is filed under the name Rattus norvegicus (Norway rat). Lineage: Eukaryota; Metazoa; Chordata; Mammalia; Rodentia; Muridae. The record is from RNAcentral.